This 465-nucleotide ribosomal RNA is filed under the name uncultured Klebsiella sp. Its description in RNAcentral is "bacterial SSU rRNA". It matches the Rfam family "Bacterial small subunit ribosomal RNA", at positions 338 to 795 of the family's 1533-position model. Lineage: Bacteria; Pseudomonadati; Pseudomonadota; Gammaproteobacteria; Enterobacterales; Enterobacteriaceae. The record is from RNAcentral.
CCUACGGGCGGCUGCAGUGGGGAAUAUUGCACAAUGGGCGCAAGCCUGAUGCAGCCAUGCCGCGUGUGUGAAGAAGGCCUUCGGGUUGUAAAGCACUUUCAGCGGGGAGGAAGGCGGUGAGGUUAAUAACCUCAUCGAUUGACGUUACCCGCAGAAGAAGCACCGGCUAACUCCGUGCCAGCAGCCGCGGUAAUACGGAGGGUGCAAGCGUUAAUCGGAAUUACUGGGCGUAAAGCGCACGCAGGCGGUCUGUCAAGUCGGAUGUGAAAUCCCCGGGCUCAACCUGGGAACUGCAUUCGAAACUGGCAGGCUAGAGUCUUGUAGAGGGGGGUAGAAUUCCAGGUGUAGCGGUGAAAUGCGUAGAGAUCUGGAGGGAUACCGGUGGCGAAGGCGGCCCCCUGGACAAAGACUGACGCUCAGGUGCGAAAGCGUGGGGAGCAAACAGGAUUAGAUACCCCAGUAGUC